Molecule: long non-coding RNA, 333 nt
Filed under: Carica papaya (papaya)
Lineage: Eukaryota; Viridiplantae; Streptophyta; Magnoliopsida; Brassicales; Caricaceae
Description: long non-coding RNA (CPAP_LNC014728)
Source: RNAcentral
UGUCGUGAUAGGAAAUAGGGUGAGGGAUCCUUACUUGUUUUGGAGUCUGAAAUCGGGUUCUCACUGCGCCUACGGGCAGUCAUUAGAUUCCCUGAAUUUUUUUCUGGAAACUAAAAUACACUUCCGGUACCUGCACAUGUCCCCAAAAAACUCUAAAUUAGACCCAGAUCCUUUUUAGCCAAUUUUGAAAUUCCGGCACGACGGCGAUCCACCUCGGGUUGGCUGUUUCUGGCUGUUUUUGGCUGAAUUCGGACAAACUUGCAUUGGUUCCUAUGAUAAAACACCCCUAGGGCCCUCGGUGGGCCAAAAAAUUACAGAAAACUGAGGCUUAUC